AGAACGAACGCUGGCGGCGCGUUUAAGCAUGCAAGUCGAGCGGCAAGGGCCUUCGGGCCCUAGAGCGGCGGACGGGUGAGUAACACGUGGACAAUCUGCCCCCCGGCCGGGAUAGGCCCAGGGAAACCUGGAUUAAUACCGGAUGAGACGGGACCCGCGAUGGCGGGAUCCGGGAAAGGCGCUGCGGCGCCGCCGGGGGAUGAGUCUGCGUCCCAUUAGCUAGACGGCGGGGUAACGGCCCACCGUGGCGACGAUGGGUAGCCGGCCUGAGAGGGUGGACGGCCACAUUGGAACUGAGACACGGUCCAGACUCCUACGGGAGGCAGCAGCUAAGAAUCUUCCGCAAUGGGCGAAAGCCUGACGGAGCGACGCCCGCGUGAACGAAGAAGGCCGUGAGGUUGUAAAGUUCUUUUCGGGAGGGGGAACAACCGUGGCAGGGAAUGGCCGCGGGAUGACGUGAAUCCCGGAAUAAGCCCCGGCUAACUACGUGCCAGCAGCGGC
RNAcentral lists this ribosomal RNA (501 nucleotides) under uncultured bacterium. RNAcentral describes it as "bacterial SSU rRNA". It matches the Rfam family "Bacterial small subunit ribosomal RNA", at positions 26 to 518 of the family's 1533-position model. The record is from RNAcentral.